Molecule: long non-coding RNA, 327 nt
Organism: Suricata suricatta (meerkat)
Lineage: Eukaryota; Metazoa; Chordata; Mammalia; Carnivora; Herpestidae
Exons: 3
Source: RefSeq, a predicted model, not a curated record
CUUCUACCGAGCCGGGACCAGGCUGAGCCCUCUCCUGCUGGGCUCCACCCUGGCAAGACGGAGAGACAGCUCCAGCACAGAAGUCUCAACACUGCCAGGCAUCUACCGAGCGACUUUCCAACUUCAGGGAGGCUGUUUACCUUGACUCUUCACCCAACCCCAGGGUUUGCCAACUUCUCCACAGCCACGGUCCACGCUGAUUUCUUCUUCUUCCCCCUUACAGCCAAAAAAGUACAACUUCUCGAGCACGGCCUCUAUGCCGGGCGCUGCACUGACUCCGGGUCAGCCAGGAGCCCGCCCCCGCGCCCCGGCGGUAGCUACCGUGUC